Molecule: long non-coding RNA, 4172 nt
Filed under: Salmo salar (Atlantic salmon)
Lineage: Eukaryota; Metazoa; Chordata; Actinopteri; Salmoniformes; Salmonidae
Description: lncRNA (ENSSSAG00000104350.1)
Source: RNAcentral
AGACCAGGACCAGAGUUAUAGUCAGGGCCUAUAGGGAGAAUAUAACUAGACCAGGACCAGAGUUAUAGUUAGGGUCUAUAGGGAGAAUAUAAAUAGACCAGAGUUAUAGAUAGGGCCUAUAGGGAGAAUAUAACUAGACCAGGGCCAGAGUUAUAGUUAGGGCCUAUAGGGAGAAUAUAACUAGACCAGAGUUAUAGUUAGGGUCUACAGGGAGAAUAAAACUAGACCAGGACCAGAGAUAUAGUUAGGGCCAAUGGUGAGAAUAUAACUAGACCAGGACCAGAGUUAUAGUUAGGGCCUAUAGGGAGGAUAUAACUACACCAGGACCAGAGUUAUAGUUAGGGCCUAUAGGGAGGAUAUAACUAGACCAGAGAUAUAGUUAGGGUCUAUAGGGAGAAUAUAACUAGACCAGAGUUAUAGUUAGGGCCUAUAGGGAGUAUAUAACUAGACCAGGACCAGAGUUAUAGUUAGGGUCUACAGGGAGAAUAUAACUAGACCAGGACCAGAGUUAUAGUUAGGGCCUAUAGGGAGGAUAUAACUAGACCAGAGUUACAGUUAGGGCCUAUAGGGAGGAUAUAACUAGACCAGAGUUACAGUUAGGGCCUAUAGGGAGGAUAUAACUGGACCAGGACCAGAGUUAUAGUUAGGGCCUAUAGGGAGGAUAUAACUAGACCAGAGAUAUAGUUAGGGUCUAUAGGGAGAAUAUAACUAGACCAGAGUUAUAGUUGGGGCCUAUAGGGAGGAUAUAACUAGACCAGAGUUACAGUUGGGGCCUAUAGGGAGGAUAUAACUCGACCAGGACCAGAGUUAUAGUUGGGGCCUAUAGGGAGAAUAUAACUAGACCAGGACCAGAGUUAUAGUUAGGGCCUAUAGGGAGAAUAUAACUAGACCAGGACCAGAGUUAUAAUUAGGGCCUAUAGGGAGAAUAUAACUAGACCAGGACCAGAGUUAUAGUUAGGGCCUAUAGGGAGAAUAUAACUAGACCAGAGUUAUAGUUAGGGUCUAUAGGGAGAAUAUAACUAGACCAGGACCAGAGUUAUAGUUAGGGCCUAUAGGGAGGAUAUAACUAGACCAGAGUUAUAUUUAGGGCCUAUAGGGAGGAUAUAACUAGACCAGGACCAGAGUUAUAGUUAGGGCCUAUAGGGAGAAUAUAACUAGACCAGAGUUAUAGUUAGGGUCUAUAGGGAGAAUAUAACUAGACCAGGACCAGAGUUAUAGUUAGGGCCUAUAGAGAGAAUAUAACUAGACCAGGACCAGAGUUAUAGUUAGGGUCUAUAGGGAGAAUAUAAAUAGACCAGAGUUAUAGUUAGGGCCUAUAGGGAGAAUAUAACUAGACCAGAGUUAUAGUUAGGGUCUAUAGGGAGAAUAUAACUAGACAAGAGUUACAGUUAGGGUCUAUAGGGAGGAUAUAACUAGACCAGAGUUAUAGUUAGGGUCUAUAGGGAGGAUAUAACUAGACCAGGACCAGAGUUAUAGUUAGGGUCUAUAGGGAGAACAUAACUAGACCAGGACCAGAGCUAUAGUUAGGGCCUAUAGGGAGAAUAUAACUAGACCAGGACCAGAGUUAUAGUUAGGGCCUAUAGGGAGAAUAUAACUAGACCAGGACCAGAGCUAUAGUUAGGGUCUAUAGGGAGAAUAUAACUAGACCAGGACCAGAGCUAAAGUUAGGGUCUACAGGGAGAAUAUAACUAGACCAGGACCAGAGUUAUAGUUAGGGUCUAUAGGGAGAAUAUAACUAGACCAGGACAAGAGCUAUAGUUAGGGUCUAUAGGGAGAAUAUAACUAGACCAGGACCAGAGUUAUAGUUAGGGCCCUUUUGUGAGAAUAUAACUAGACCAGGACCAGAGUUAUAGUUAGGUUCUAUAGGGAGGAUAUAACUAGACCAGAGUUAUAGUUAGGGCCUAUAGGGAGGAUAUAACUAGACCAGAGAUAUAGUUAGGGUCUAUAGGGAGAAUAUAACUAGACCAGAGUUAUAGUUAGGGCCUAUAGGGAGGAUAUAACUAGACCAGGACCAGAGUUAUAGUUAGGGUCUACAGGGAGAAUAUAACUAGACCAGGACCAGAGUUAUAGUUAGGGCCUAUGGGGAGGAUAUAACUAGACCAGAGUUACAGUUAGGGCCUAUAGGGAGGAUAUAACUAGACCAGAGUUACAGUUAGGGCCUAUAGGGAGGAUAUAACUAGACCAGGACCAGAGGUAUAGUUAAGGCCUAUAGGGAGAAUAUAACUAGACCAGGACCAGAGUUAUAGUUAGGGCCUAUAGGGAGAAUAUAACUAGACCAGGACCAGAGUUAUAGUUAGGGCCUAUAGGGAGAAUAUAACUAGACCAGGACCAGAGUUAUAAUUAGGGCCUAUAGGGAGAAUAUAACUAGACCAGGACCAGAGUUAUAGUUAGGGCCUAUAGGGAGGAUAUAACUACACCAGGACCAGAGUUAUAGUUAGGGCCUAUAGGGAGAAUAUAACUAGACCAGAGUUAUAGUUAUGGCCUUUAGGGAGAAUAUAACUAGACCAGGACCAGAGUUAUAGUUAGGGCCUAUAGGGAGGAUAUAACUAGACCAGAGAUAUAGUUAGGGUCUAUAGGGAGAAUAUAACUAGACCAGAGUUAUAGUUAGGGCCUAUAGGGAGGAUAUAACUAGAACAAGACCAGAGUUAUAGUUAGGGCCUAUAGGGAGGAUAUAACUAGACCAGAGUUACAGUUAGGGCCUAUAGGGAGGAUAUAACUCGACCAGGACCAGAGUUAUAGUUAGGGCCUAUAGGGAGAAUAUAACUAGACCAGUACCAGAGUUAUAGUUAGGGCCUAUAGGGAGAAUAUAACUAGACCAGGACCAGAGUUAUAGUUAGGGCCUAUAGGGAGAAUAUAACUAGACCAGGACCAGAGUUAUAGUUAGGGCCUAUAGGGAGAAUAUAACUAGACCAGAGUUAUAGUUAGGGUCUAUAGGGAGAAUAUAACUAGACCAGGACCAGAGCUAUAGUUAGGGCCUAUAGGGAGGAUAUAACUAGACCAGAGUUAUAUUUAGGGCCUAUAGGGAGGAUAUAACUAGAACAGGACCAGAGUUAUAGUUAGGGCCUAUAGGGAGAAUAUAACUAGACCAGAGUUAUAGUUAGGGCCAAUAGGGAGAAUAUAACUAGACCAGGACCAGAGUUAUAGUUAGGGCCUAUAGGGAGAAUAUAACUAGACCAGGACCAGAGUUAUAGUUAGGGUCUAUAGGGAGAAUAUAACUAGACCAGAGUUAUAGUUAGGGCCUAUAGGGAGAAUAUAACUAGACCAGAGUUAUAGUUAGGGUCUAUAGGGAGAAUAUAACUAGACAAGAGUUACAGUUAGGGUCUAUAGGGAGGAUAUAACUAGACCAGAGUUAUAGUUAGGGUCUAUAGGGAGGAUAUAACUAGACCAGGACCAGAGUUAUAGUUAGGGUCUAUAGGGAGAACAUAACUAGACCAGGACCAGAGCUAUAGUUAGGGCCUAUAGGGAGAAUAUAACUAGACCAGGACCAGAGUUAUAGUUAGGGUCUAUAGGGAGAAUAUAACUAGACCAGGACCAGAGCUAUAGUUAGGGCCUAUAGGGAGAAUAUAACUAGACCAGGACCAGAGCUAUAGUUAGGGCCUACAGGGAGAAUAUAACUAGACCAGGACCAGAGUUAUAGUUAGGGCCUAUAGGGAGAAUAUAACUAGACCAGGACAAGAGCUAUAGUUAGGGUCUAUAGGGAGAAUAUAACUAGACGAGGACCAGAGUUAUAGUUGGGGCCUAUUGUGAGAAUAUAACUAGACCAGAGUUAUAGUUGGGGCCUAUAGGGAGAAUAUAACUAGACCAGGGCCAGAGUUAUAGUUAGGGCCUACAGGGAGAAUAUAACUAGACCAGGACCAGAGUUAUAGUUAGGGUCUAUAGGGAGAAUAUAACUAGACCAGGACAAGAGUUAUAGUUAGGGCCUAUAGGGAGAAUAUAACUAGACGAGGACCAGAGUUAUAGUUAGGGCCCUUUUGUGAGAAUAUAACUAGACCAGAGUUAUAGUUAGGGCCUAUAGGGAGAAUAUAACUAGACCAGAGUUAUAGUUAGGGUCUACAGGGAGAAUAAAACUAGACCAGGACCAGAGAUAUAGUUAGGGCCAAUGGUGAGAAUAUAACUAGACCAGGACCAGAGUUAUAGUUAGGGCCUAUAGGGAGGAUAUAACUACACCAGGA